AGUGAACGCUGGCGGUAGGCCUAACACAUGCAAGUCGAACGGCAGCACAGUAAGAGCUUGCUCUUACGGGUGGCGAGUGGCGGACGGGUGAGGAAUACAUCGGAAUCUACUUUUUCGUGGGGGAUAACGUAGGGAAACUUACGCUAAUACCGCAUACGACCUACGGGUGAAAGCAGGGGAUCUUCGGACCUUGCGCGAUUGAAUGAGCCGAUGUCGGAUUAGCUAGUUGGCGGGGUAAAGGCCCACCAAGGGGACGAUCCGUAGCUGGUCUGAGAGGCUGAUCAGCCACACUGGAACUGAGACACGGCCCAGACUCCUGAGGGAGGCAGCAGUGGGGAAUAUUAGACAAUGGGCGCAAGCCUGAUCCAGCCAUACCGCGUGGGUGAAGAAGGCCUUCGGGCUGUAAAGCCCUUUUGUUGGGAAAGAAAAGCAGCAGGUUAAUACCCCGCUGUUCUGACGGUACCCAAAGAAUAAGCACCGGCUAACUUCGUG
RNAcentral lists this ribosomal RNA (492 nucleotides) under uncultured bacterium. RNAcentral's name for it is "partial 16S ribosomal RNA". It matches the Rfam family "Bacterial small subunit ribosomal RNA", at positions 29 to 507 of the family's 1533-position model. The record is from RNAcentral.